Molecule: ribosomal RNA, 492 nt
Filed under: uncultured bacterium
Lineage: Bacteria
Description: partial 16S ribosomal RNA
Rfam family: Bacterial small subunit ribosomal RNA
Source: RNAcentral
AGUGAACGCUGGCGGUAGGCCUAACACAUGCAAGUCGAACGGACGCACAGUGAGAGCUUGCUCUUACGGGUGGCGAGUGGCGGACGGGUGAGGAAUCCAUCGGAUUCUACUUUUUCGUGGGGGAUAACGUCGGGUAACUUACGCUAAUACCGCAUACGCCCUACGGGUGUAAGCAGGGGUUGUUCGGACCUUGUGGGAGUGAAUGAGCCGAUGUCGGAUUAGCUAGUUUGCGGGGUAAAGGCCCACCAAGGCGACGCUCCGUAGCUGCUCUGAGAGGGUGAACAGCCACACUGGAAGAGAGGCACGGUACCGACACCUACGGGAGGCAGCAGUGGGGAAUAUUGGGCAAUGGGCGCAAGCCGGAUCCAGCCAUACCGGGUGAGUGAAGAAGGCCUUCGGGUGGUAAAGCCCUUUUGUUGGGAAAGAAAAGCAGCAGGUUAAUACCCCGCGGUUCUGACGGUACCCAAAGAAUAAGCACCGGCUAACUUCGUG